GAUGAAGAACGUAGCGAAAUGCGAUACGUAAUGUGAAUUGCAGAAUUCAGUGAAUCAUCGAGUCUUUGAACGCACAUUGCGCCCGCCAGUAUUCUGGCGGGCAUGCCUGUUCGAGCGUCAUUUCAACCAUCAAGCCCCCGGCUUGUGUUGGGGACCUGCGGCUGCCGCAGGCCCUGAAAUGCAGUGGCGGGCUCGCUGUCACUCCGAGCGUAGUAGUUACAUCUCGCUCUGGGCGUGCUGCGGGUUCCGGCCGUUAAAAGCCUUAUUUACCCAAGGUUGACCUCGGAUCAGGUAGGAAGACCCGCUGAACUUAAGCAUAUCAUAAGCGGAGGA
This 333-nucleotide unclassified non-coding RNA is filed under the name soil metagenome. RNAcentral's name for it is "partial contains 5.8S ribosomal RNA, internal transcribed spacer 2, and large subunit ribosomal RNA". The stretch from base 1 to 120 matches the Rfam family "5.8S ribosomal RNA", at positions 35 to 154 of the family's 154-position model. The record is from RNAcentral.